Molecule: long non-coding RNA, 1123 nt
Organism: Talpa occidentalis (Iberian mole)
Lineage: Eukaryota; Metazoa; Chordata; Mammalia; Eulipotyphla; Talpidae
Exons: 3
Source: RefSeq, a predicted model, not a curated record
UCCGAAUGGUGGGAGGGCAGAAAAGCCUGAAAACCAUUUACCCUACCGAUGCACCUGGAUUUUGAGACUCAGGCCCCUUCCCUCCUGCAGCGGCAGAGCAAUAUCCAGCGUCUAAGAUGGUGCCUUCCCACCACUGGUGGACCAGAACCCCUAUUCCAAAAAGAAGGGCAAAGAUGGCAUUUUUUCACCAUUGAGGACUUGGAGCACAUGGCAGCCAGACAGUAGCCGGGAUCCAACUCAUGAAGAGAGCAAAAGACACAAGAGGGGAUGCUCACCGGAGCUGCUGAAGAUGCCCCAGUGCAGCACCAGAUAAGCAGCAUUCAAAACAGCAGCUGCAGCAGCCAAACAACCUGACAAACAGCCACACUCAUGCAGCUUAGUGAGGUGCCUGACUCUGGGUCUUCACCUUUCCUUCCAGGGAGUAACAACAACAAAGCUGGGAACAAUUUCAGUCGCUUGGCUAUCUGCAAAGUCUCUAAACUUUUCUCCUCUGAAAUUGGCUGCUGGAAGCCCCUGCACAUCUUCAGGAGGCCCACAACAGCCCACAACAGCCUUCUGGAAGAUCAGCGUGGUGGGGGCAGGAAUGGCUGACCCUGGAAUCCUGAAUCCUGGAAAACACUGAAUCCCAGGGGCUGCUUCUGCAGUCCCUUAUAUUUCCUAUCCGAGUAUUUCACCGGGGGCUAUUCACCCUCACCUGUGGCCCCCUCCAAGGGGUGCCACCUGUAACUUAGCUUUAAUCCCCAAUUACAGUUUGUUAGUCCCUGAGUCUCAAGAGUGUUCACUGAGGCACAUGUAAACUUUCACUAUGUAUUUUAUUCUAGAGAGGUCUAUGCAUUUUACCACAGCUCAGAAUGAAAAUAACUCUUGGAAGAUCACAAUUCUAAUCUUUCCUUAGAAGGAGGUAGAUAUUACAUUAUCUGAAAAUAUUCCAGUGCUCUCUCAUGAGAUUGAUUAUUCUACAUUAGCUCUAUAUCUUUCAUAAAGUAUGUCACAUUUUUCUAGAAAACACAUCAGUAUUAUUUAUAAUUGGCAAUCUCCCCUUGGAUGACUUAGGAUGUACUUCUACCAAGACAUAAAUUCAUAUAUUAAAUAUUAUUCAUGUCAAUUAUGCUCUGAUAAUAGU